Non-coding RNA from Meleagris gallopavo (turkey), 2078 nucleotides. The record is from RefSeq and is a predicted model, not a curated record. Lineage: Eukaryota; Metazoa; Chordata; Aves; Galliformes; Phasianidae.
AUUCCAUGAAUAGAAAGGAAGACAACACUCCUGAUCCUCCUCCUCUUGAUAUACCAGCAAGAUUUCAGGGUGACAAUCUUUGAAGAGAUUCUGAAACAUCAAAUCAGGAAACGAUGGGAAUAAGCUGAUUUCUUCCUGAGAUAACACUGAGAGCAUCAUUGCACGUCUGAUGGAGAACAGAAAACGAGUGAGAAAGAAAGGUGCAGCUGUGCAUCUGGAAAUCUGGGAAACCAGCAGGGGAAGGUGCAGGUUGGACAAGGAGCAGAGCUCUCAUCCUUGAAUGCUAGCAAGAAAUGCUGACACCUAAUUCAUCUGGACUGUGCUGUCGCACAGAGCAGCUGCCUCACCCCACAUCACACGCUGUGCCCUGGUAGAGCCUUCUGCAUCCCGAGGUGAGUGGAAAGGAGACUGCAGGCCUGCAUUCCUGCCCUGCUGGCACACCCCUUCAUCAAAUAGGAAGGGCAACAAGGACGAGAAGAUGGCUUGGCAUGGUCCAAAACAGGAUGUAAGGAGCAGCCUGUGCUGCCUUGGCCUGUAGUAGUAUUUCAGGAUGCUUCAGUGAGAUUCAUCUCAGCUGAACACCAAGUGCCUCCGGCUGCUCCACUCCAUUAGGUGUCUGCACACAGCGUUAGAUCUAACUGGAGUAGAAACUUGAUUUGCUUUCACUGCGUGCACUUUUGGAUUCAAAGUGGUGUCCUUCCUCCUCCCCAAACAAAGGUGGAGUAAUGGAAAUAGCAGUGAGUCACCAGGUAUACGGGGGAGACUGGCAGUAGCAUUAGCGGUUCUCCUGUCAUUCUGCUGCCCCUCAGAGUGCAUUGGGCAAUGCAUGCCUCUGCUCAGGGUGUCCGAAUGCUCUGGGUCACCAUGGCAGUGAAAGGCCCUCCAUACUUUAUGGGAGGUGUUUAUAGCAUCAAUCUCUAGGGCAGAAUUAGAAAAGCUACUGUGAGUACCUGUCCUUGCUGUUAACUGCCUUACUGUUGAAUGAAGCACAACUACAGCAAAUGGCCUUAGGAUGUAUGUAGAGAAACUGGAACGUAAGGUUGUAAGUUUCUAGUGUGUAUUAUGGUUGAUAUCUCAGUAGUGCUUGGGUUUGGGAUUGGGACAGGCAGCUGCUCGCUCUCUUUGCAUACAGCAUGGCCAGCAAAUGUUCAGAGCUGGUGUUCUAAUUGCAGACCCCCAGCCCCUCCCAUCUGCACUGCAGCUGCAGUCCCUCUCCUGGUGCUGGCACAACACUGCUGCAGUCUCUUGUUGCCAAAUAAUGGAACUGAGCUUUGUUAGUGAGGCAGGGCAGUGUAUUGUCUGUGUAUUUUGUUGGUAAGGAUACGCUGUAGCUUGUUUUUUCUUUAUUAUCCAUAAAGUUGAAUUAUUCACAAGCAAUUUCACUCUAAAGAACUCUCAUGUACGUUUAAAAAAUAGAAACAAGGCUUCACUUUCAUUUCAUUAUGUUCUAAUCUUUACAAGGGUUUGUGCUUCUGCUCCUGAGAUGCCUUUGACUUACAAGGAGAAGGUUACCUCGUACCUUCUAACGUGCACCCUUAUUUGACAGCCACCUUUCAGCUCAGUAAUUACAUACACAAAUAGCAUGCUAUCAAAAUGUACCGUUAAAUACAUAUAUUUCUUUUAAAUUCUUGCAGCUUAUCUAUUUGGGAAAACAUUUCUGUACCCGUAGACAAGAAUUUCAGUAGCUAAAUUGUCUUUCCCAUUGCACUGAACUUCCCCAGAGUCCUUGUAGAUGUUCAAAAAUAAUUCCAAAAUACCUUAGGAAUAAGUAUGUAAAGAACUAGUGCUCUGAUAUUGAAAGUACGUGAGACCAAAUGGGAAAUUGUCUAAGAAGUAAUACCAGGCAGCUACCCAGUACAUGGCAAUGCAAAAUGUGACUUCUUCCCUUCUUCCAUCAGAGGUGCUGCUUUUAACUGAUACACUUCAGAGCCCAGUGAUUAAAAAGUCUUGCGAGCAGUAUGGAGCCACUGCCAGCUCUCAUGUUAUCCUACAAACGUUAGCAGUGAUCAUCCCUAUAAAAAUGUGCACGUUUUGUUAACUGCUGUCAUUUAUUUCAGAGCACUUAUUGCUAUAAAACA